UGCAGUCGAACGAUGAUCAGGAGCUUGCUUCUGUGAUUAGUGGCGAACGGGUGAGUAACACGUGAGUAACCUGCCCCUGACUCUGGGAUAAGCGUUGGAAACGACGUCUAAUACUGGAUACGACUUCCGGCCGCAUGGUCUGGUUGUGGAAAGAUUUUUUGGUUGGGGAUGGACUCGCGGCCUAUCAGCUUGUUGGUGAGGUAAUGGCUCACCAAGGCGACGACGGGUAGCCGGCCUGAGAGGGUGACCGGCCACACUGGGACUGAGACACGGCCCAGACUCCUACGGGAGGCAGCAGUGGGGAAUAUUGCACAAUGGGCGAAAGCCUGAUGCAGCAACGCCGCGUGAGGGAUGACGGCCUUCGGGUUGUAAACCUCUUUUAGUAGGGAAGAAGCGAAAGUGACGGUACCUGCAGAAAAAGCACCGGCUAACUACGUGCCAGCAGCCGCGGUAAUACGUAGGGUGCAAGCGUUGUCCGGAAUUAUUGGGCGUAAAGAGCUCGUAGGCGGUUUGUCGCGUCUGCUGUGAAAUCCCGAGGCUCAACCUCGGGCUUGCAGUGGGUACGGGCAGACUAGAGUGCGGUAGGGGAGAUUGGAAUUCCUGGUGUAGCGGUGGAAUGCGCAGAUAUCAGGAGGAACACCGAUGGCGAAGGCAGAUCUCUGGGCCGUAACUGACGCUGAGGAGCGAAAGCAUGGGGAGCGAACAGGAUUAGAUACCCUGGUAGUCCAUGCCGUAAACGUUGGGCGCUAGAUGUAGGGACCUUUCCACGGUUUCUGUGUCGUAGCUAACGCAUUAAGCGCCCCGCCUGGGGAGUACGGCCGCAAGGCUAAAACUCAAAGGAAUUGACGGGGGCCCGCACAAGCGGCGGAGCAUGCGGAUUAAUUCGAUGCAACGCGAAGAACCUUACCAAGGCUUGACAUACACCGGAAACGGCCAGAGAUGGUCGCCCCCUUGUGGUCGGUGUACAGGUGGUGCAUGGUUGUCGUCAGCUCGUGUCGUGAGAUG
Molecule: ribosomal RNA, 1005 nt
Filed under: Curtobacterium sp.
Lineage: Bacteria; Bacillati; Actinomycetota; Actinomycetes; Micrococcales; Microbacteriaceae
Description: bacterial SSU rRNA
Rfam family: Bacterial small subunit ribosomal RNA
Source: RNAcentral